GUCCACGCCCUAAACGAUGUCAACUGGUUGUUGGGUCUUCACUGACUCAGUAACGAAGCUAACGCGUGAAGUUGACCGCCUGGGGAGUAUGGCCGCAAGGUUGAAACUCAAAGGAAUUGACGGGGACCCGCACAAGCGGUGGAUGAUGUGGUUUAAUUCGAUGCAACGCGAAAACCUUACCCACCUUUGACAUGUACGGAAUUUGCCAGAGAUGGCUUAGUGCUCGAAAGAGAGCCGUAACACAGGUGCUGCAUGGCUGUCGU
This 263-nucleotide ribosomal RNA is filed under the name uncultured bacterium. RNAcentral describes it as "partial 16S ribosomal RNA". It matches the Rfam family "Bacterial small subunit ribosomal RNA", at positions 793 to 1055 of the family's 1533-position model. The record is from RNAcentral.